This 20-nucleotide microRNA is filed under the name Physcomitrium patens. Its description in RNAcentral is "ppt-miR1034b". The record is from miRBase by way of RNAcentral. Lineage: Eukaryota; Viridiplantae; Streptophyta; Bryopsida; Funariales; Funariaceae.
UUACUUUGGCAGCGUUGUGC